GGGAGGAAAGCAUAAGUGUGCGGUUAACUUGAAAUUAACAGGUGGCAGUUCAAGUCUGUCUCUUCUCG
Molecule: transfer RNA, 68 nt
Filed under: Protobothrops mangshanensis
Lineage: Eukaryota; Metazoa; Chordata; Lepidosauria; Squamata; Viperidae
Description: tRNA-Ser
Rfam family: tRNA
About the family: Transfer RNA (tRNA) molecules are approximately 80 nucleotides in length. Their secondary structure includes four short double-helical elements and three loops (D, anti-codon, and T loops). Further hydrogen bonds mediate the characteristic L-shaped molecular structure. tRNAs have two regions of fundamental functional importance: the anti-codon, which is responsible for specific mRNA codon recognition, and the 3' end, to which the tRNAs corresponding amino acid is attached (by aminoacyl-tRNA synthetases). tRNAs cope with the degeneracy of the genetic code in two manners: having more than one tRNA (with a specific anti-codon) for a particular amino acid; and 'wobble' base-pairing, i.e. permitting non-standard base-pairing at the 3rd anti-codon position.
Source: RNAcentral